Molecule: long non-coding RNA, 1867 nt
Organism: Brassica napus (rape)
Lineage: Eukaryota; Viridiplantae; Streptophyta; Magnoliopsida; Brassicales; Brassicaceae
Exons: 2
Source: RefSeq, a predicted model, not a curated record
UAUACUUAAUUGGACCAACAUAUUUUCUAAGGAUUCUGAAUUUCAUUCUGGUGAUGACAUGUGUCUACACUUAAAUGUUGUAAUGUUUCUGAAUUAAUAUAUAAGGGAUUAACUUUCAAAAGAGCUUUUCUUUCUCCCAUAAACACUUUAGUCUCCUCAAUAACGUAGUUGGUAUCCAUCAUGUUUGCGUAAACCUUGGUAAGAACAAUCAAAGUUGUGCAGCGGCUCUGUCUUCUUUGUCUUGAGAUUAAAAACAAAGAUAGAACUUGUGUUAUCCCUUUUAACACUGAAAUAGAUGGAAUCUCUAAUGAAUCCGUCAUUGCCGAGCACAGUGAUGCCUUGAUCCAAAAGCAUUGACUCGUCUCCCAAAGAACCAACGAGUUGGUGAUUCCUCAUCCUCAGGAAUCCUAGUGAACAAACCUUGAUAACCCUGAAGGACCAGGUUUCAGACCUCGGCCUCCACCAUUUUUCAACCUUGAAGACUUCUCCUGUCACCGUGACUACAAGUUUUGUCGGAACAACAAGACCUAAACGUAGUCUUUCCACAAUAACACCGCACUGUAAUAUGACACUUUUAGAACUGGUAAGCACCCUAUACGUGCUUCUUUGUUAUUGGCUAAUGUCUUCUCUCUGUUUCUCUUCCUCUUCGUCGACGUUGGAGAAACAAGAGCCUGAAUCGUCAACAUCGGAGGAGGCGCAAGCUGUGACUCCGUGGGUCGUCUCCGGUAAUGUCGAUCACGGGAAGGUGAUCGAAAAGUUCGGCUGCGAUAGGAUAGACGAGUCGCUGAUUUGCGUGUUUGAUGAUUCGGUUUUUUUUUGUGUGUUUGAUGAUUCGGUUUUUGAUUUGCAUUGAUGGGGAUGUUAAAAGUUAUGUUCUUUUGGCUGAGUGAGGAUGAAUGGGUUGAACAAAGUAACCAGGAGAGGGGAGAACAAAGUAACCAGGACUCUUGGGUCUCGGGAAUUCAUGCGAUACUACAAACAUAAGCCACCACCAUCUUCUCAGAAACACAUUGUCGACUCUCUAGCCACGAGGUUUGUUUCCUGUGAUAAGGGUUCGUCAGUUUCGUUAAAGCUCCAGACUUUAUGUUUUCAAUUGCCUCUGACGACACAGAACGCUUAAGUGGUGGUUAAUCAAGUAAGUGUUCACGCUGGUGUGUAGGGAAGCAAUGGAUGAAUCUGCAGAAUGGCGGAGAAUGUUUGACUGUGAAGCUGAGAAAGCUUCUAACUGUAACUCAGAGCUGGCACUGGUACUGUUUCUCUAAGCUCCUCCUCCAUGUAGAGAAAGGUUUUUUCACUUUUAUUUUGCUUUAGGGAUUGACUUCGAAUGGUACCUAGUUAUGGUUGUCUCUGUGGUGACAUGUAAACCCAUGUUCUGCUCAACUUGCAUUUGUUUUCGUGGUUAGUGCAUUCCUAUAGUCUUGUAAAUGGUUAUUUUGUUGGCUCUGUGUCCCUGGAUCGUUGAAGGUUUAGUUUACCUGUGGCUCAUUAGUUCUUCUGUUUACCUGUGUCCCAAUCAUAAAUUCAAAUCCACAAUCCUUAUAAGUUAUAAUAUUGGAUGCUUGUGGCUCAUUAGUUCUUCUGUCUAUUGGGUUAGGAAAAUGCAGCAUUGCUCACUAAGAUAGAGACACUAAAACAAGAGCUGGAAGCUUCAAGGUUAAAGUGCCGUUCAAGAGAGGCACCCCAUUAGAUUGGUUUUCUGUAGUAGACAUCCAGCGUUUGAUAUUAGCUCUCGCUCAUUCAGCUGCUGGUAAGAAAAUCUUAAACAUUUCAUUCUCAUGUAUAACAGUUGUUGUAGUAGACGAUUUGUAGGCUCUUUUUGGAACAAUCAUACUAGCAAUACCUGUAAUAUACAUCAUCAUUUUCAUCA